GUGGGGAAUAUUCCGCAAUGGACGAAAGUCUGACGGAGCAACGCCGCGUGAGUGAUGAAGGUUUUCGGACUGUAAAGCUCUGUUGUUUAGGACGAAAGUGCCUGUUGCAAAUAGUUACAGGUAUUGACGGUACUGAACGAGGAAGCCACGGCUAACUACGUGCCAGCAGCCGCGGUAAUACGUAGGUGGCAAGCGUUGUCCGGAAUUAUUGGGCGUAAAGAGCAUGUAGGCGGGAAUCUAAGUCUGUUGUGAAAAUGCGGAGCUCAACCCCGUAUUGCGAUGGAAACUGGGUUUCUUGAGUGCAGGAGAGGAAAGGGGAAUUCCCAGUGUAGCGGUGAAAUGCGUAGAUAUUGGGAGGAACACCAGUGGCGAAGGCGCCUUUCUGGACUGUGUCUGACGCUGAGAUGCGAAAGCCAGGGUAGCGAACGGGAUUAGAAACCCGUGUAGUCC
This 450-nucleotide ribosomal RNA is filed under the name uncultured bacterium. RNAcentral describes it as "partial 16S ribosomal RNA". It matches the Rfam family "Bacterial small subunit ribosomal RNA", at positions 354 to 796 of the family's 1533-position model. The record is from RNAcentral.